UACGGGGGAGCAAGCGUUGUUCGGAUUUACUGGGCGUAAAGGGCGCGUAGGCGGUCGUGACAAGUCACUUGUGAAUCUCCGGGCUUAACUCGGAACGGUCAAGUGAUACUGUCGGACUAGAGUACAGAAGGGGCAACUGGAAUUCUCGGUGUGGCGGUGAAAUGCGUAGAUAUCGAGAGGAACACCUGCGGCGAAGGCGGGUUGCUGGGCUGAUACUGACGCUGAGGCGCGGAAAGCCAGGGAGCGAACGG
Molecule: ribosomal RNA, 251 nt
Filed under: uncultured bacterium
Lineage: Bacteria
Description: partial 16S ribosomal RNA
Rfam family: Bacterial small subunit ribosomal RNA
Source: RNAcentral